Molecule: ribosomal RNA, 264 nt
Filed under: uncultured bacterium
Lineage: Bacteria
Description: partial 16S ribosomal RNA
Rfam family: Bacterial small subunit ribosomal RNA
Source: RNAcentral
UACAUGGGGUGCAAACGUUGCUCGGAAUUAUUGGGCGUAAAGCGCACGUAGGCGGUUCGUUAAGUCGGAUGUGAAAGCCCUCGGCUCAACUGAGGAAGUGCACCCGAAACUGGCGAGCUUGAGUACUUAAGAGGAUCGCGGAAUUCCCGGUGUAGAGGUGAAAUUCGUAGAUAUCGGGAGGAACACCAGUGGCGAAGGCGGCGAUCUGGGAAGAUACUGACGCUGAGGUGCGAAAGCGAUGGGGAGCAAACAGGGAAUUAAGAA